GUUUAGCAGUUUAGCAUUCAAGCUUGUUUCGGUGACAUUGUUUUCAAUUCCAGUUUAUUAAGGAAUGUCCGGAAACUACCAAAUAAUUUAUAAGUUACAAAAUAAAUGCUAAUAAAGAAUUGAUCGGAUCAGAAAGUAAAAAGGAAGGUGAAGGUCAAAACAAAUAAGUUCCAAAUGGGCCACAAAAGCUACAAAGUGGCAGCCCAAUUCACAAGCAUAUGGCGCACACCAUAUAACAAGUGAUGGCCGCCACAUGUGCUAUUUCAUAGGCACAUAAUUAGAUUAAUUAACAUGUGAAGGAAGACCACACAAUUACGUGUCCUUGCCACACUCUGUCUUUGCAGCAUACACUUACCAGUUUGUUCCGAAUCUCAGGCAGAAAAAGACGGACUGCAACAGAAAAAAUAUCUCCUCUUCUCGGUCUAUAAAUAGAAGACCAUCUGUGUUAUUUUUUUUCACACACGCUUCAUUAUCAGAAUUUAAGAGCAGAUAGAAAAUAUUUUACUUUCCUGUUUUCCAUUCAGUUUAGCAUUCAAGCUUGUUCCGGUGACAUUGUUUUCAAUUCCAGUUUAUUAAGGUUCUAAUCUCUUGUUCUAUUUAUUUUAUUUUAUUUAUUUGUUACAACUUGUUCACUGUUCUUUUAAUUCAGUCACUGUUUGUUUAA
Molecule: long non-coding RNA, 664 nt
Organism: Trifolium pratense (red clover)
Lineage: Eukaryota; Viridiplantae; Streptophyta; Magnoliopsida; Fabales; Fabaceae
Exons: 2
Source: RefSeq, a predicted model, not a curated record